This 263-nucleotide unclassified non-coding RNA is filed under the name plant metagenome. RNAcentral describes it as "partial contains small subunit ribosomal RNA, internal transcribed spacer 1, and 5.8S ribosomal RNA". The record is from RNAcentral.
UUUCCGUAGGUGAACCUGCGGAAGGAUCAUUAUUGUAUAACCGAGGUGCGAGGGCUGUCGCUGACCCGAAAGGUCGUGCACGCCCGAGUGCCCUCACACACCCCCAUCUCACCCCUAUGUGCACCACCGCGUGGGUCCCCCUUUGGCUUGUUCGGAGGGGGGCUUACGUUUUCACACAAACUUUGUAUGCAGUGUAGAAUGUAUUUUUUGUUUUUGCGAUCACGCAAUCAAUACAACUUUCAACAACGGAUCUCUUGGCUCUC